UACGUAGGGCGCAAGCGUUGUCCGGAAUUAUUGGGCGUAAAGAGCUCGUAGGUGGUGUGUCGCGUCUGCCGUGAAAGCCCGGGGCUUAACUCCGGGUCUGCGGUGGAUACGGGCAGACUAGAGGCAGGUAGGGGAGAACGGAAUUCCGGUGUAGCGGUGAAAUGCGUAGAGAAUCGGGAGGAACACCUGUGGCGAAGGCGGCCCCCUGGGCCGGCCCGUGACACUGAGGAGCGAAAGCGUGGGGAGCGAACAGG
Molecule: ribosomal RNA, 254 nt
Filed under: uncultured bacterium
Lineage: Bacteria
Description: partial 16S ribosomal RNA
Rfam family: Bacterial small subunit ribosomal RNA
Source: RNAcentral